Molecule: ribosomal RNA, 1046 nt
Filed under: Verrucomicrobia bacterium enrichment culture clone Ac-F3
Lineage: Bacteria; Pseudomonadati; Verrucomicrobiota
Description: bacterial SSU rRNA
Rfam family: Bacterial small subunit ribosomal RNA
Source: RNAcentral
CUGUCAGCAGACAGAAGUGAUAGUAUGCUAGAGAAGAGACGGCUAACUCUGUGCCAGCAGCCGCGGUAAUACAGAGGUCUCAAGCGUUGUUCGGAUUUACUGGCGUAAAGGGUGCGUAGGUGGCGAUGUAAGUUGAGUGUGAAAUCCUAGGGCUUAACCUUAGAACUGCACUCAAUACUGCAUUGCUCGAGGAUUGUAGAGGAGAAUGGAAUUCACAAUGUAGCAGUGAAAUGCGUAGAUAUCGUGAGGAAGACCAGUGGCGAAGGCGAUUCUCUGGGCAAUUCCUGACACUGAGGCACGAAGGCCAGGGGAGCAAACGGGAUUAGAUACCCCGGUAGUCCUGGCAGUAAACGGUGCACGUUUGGUGUGGGAGGAUUCGACCCCUUCCGUGCCGGAGCUAACGCGUUAAACGUGCCGCCUGGGGAGUACGGUCGCAAGAUUAAAACUCAAAGAAAUUGACGGGGGCCCGCACAAGCGGUGGAGUAUGUGGCUUAAUUCGAUGCAACGCGAAGAACCUUACCUGGUCUUGACAUGCAUUGUGUCUACGAUGAAAGUCGUAUAGCUAGUAGCAAUAUUAGCGCUUUGCACAGGUGCUGCAUGGCUGUCGUCAGCUCGUGUCGUGAGAUGUUGGGUUAAGUCCCGCAACGAGCGCAACCCCUGUGUCCAGUUGCCCGCAAGGGAUCUCUGGACAGACUGCCCUGUGAAACGGGGAGGAAGGUGGGGACGACGUCAAGUCAGUAUGGCCCUUACGGCCAGGGCUGCACACGUACUACAAUGCCCAGUACAGAAUGAACCGAAACCGCGAGGUGGAGGAAAUCUAUAAAACUGGGCCCAGUUCGGAUUGGAGGCUGCAACUCGCCUCCAUGAAGUUGGAAUCGCUAGUAAUGGCGCAUCAGCUACGGCGCCGUGAAUACGUUCCCGGGCCUUGUACACACCGCCCGUCACAUCAUGGGAGUCAUUUGAGCCGAAGCACGCACGCUAACCGCAAGGAGGCAGCGUCUACGCUAUGAGUGGUAACUGGGAUGAAGUCGUAACAAGGUAGCCGU